Molecule: non-coding RNA, 577 nt
Organism: Camellia sinensis
Lineage: Eukaryota; Viridiplantae; Streptophyta; Magnoliopsida; Ericales; Theaceae
Source: RefSeq, a predicted model, not a curated record
GUUGUACGGAAACUGAUCAUUAUACAGGGAAGGGCAUCCUUAAUCAUCUUCAUUCUGGCUAUCACGAUCUUCGUCAACGCAAUCUCCCUAGGUGGGGUAGGCAUAUCGAACAUGAUUGGGAAGAUUGAGCAACACGAAUACAUGGGUUUCGAGGACCUCUGCAAAUAUGAUGCUUAAUUUGUCGUCGUCACCUCUUCUUUUCUCCUCUCACAUUUAAUAGGAUUCCCAAGUGUCAUAAUGAGGCGGGCUCAGUAUACAAGUCGGCGUUGUGCCAUUAUGCACGUUUGUGGGAUGAAUGAAUGAUUGCAUUGAUUCAGCUCCGCUGAAAAUUCAGUAUGUUUGCUUUCAUAUGCUGUUAGUGUCUUUCCGUAAGAAAAAAUUCUGCUGUAUUUGGAGCUGCAGUAGGAAAGAUACAAAAUGAGUGUUUUCAGUUUUUUUUGUUUUUUGUUUUUUGUUUUUUGUUUUUGUAUUUUUGGGUUCUUACAUGGAAUGGAACUUUUGAAUAAUUGUAAUAAUUUAUUGUUUGACCCUUGAAAAUUCAAUUGAUUCAACUUUUGAGUUUUAUAUUUCACCAUCA